Molecule: long non-coding RNA, 359 nt
Filed under: Nicotiana benthamiana
Lineage: Eukaryota; Viridiplantae; Streptophyta; Magnoliopsida; Solanales; Solanaceae
Description: long non-coding RNA (NBEN_LNC006963)
Source: RNAcentral
UGAUGUUUGAAUAUUGAAAAGUAUAGUAAGAAGUCACUAUUAUUUCAAUGUCGUGAGGUAAUGAAGGUAAUAUUAGUAGUACUUCGUCGUAGUGGGAGAAAUCUAAAGAAAAUCAUAGUUCGGCAACAUUCUUGGGAUAGUUCCGGUAACAGGAUCCCUGAAGAGUUUAAUGCCAAACUAGAUAGUUACAACAAAGAACUAGUGGACAAAUAUUGCAUCUGAUGUAACUUGACAAGAUUCUUUAACAAAACCUUAUUUGGUGAAGACUUUUAAUAGUCAUGUAAAAGAACGCCCGAGAAAGUUAUAGAUGCAUGGUUAUGAGUCUAAGUGGGAGAUUGUUGGGGCAUAUACUAUUAACC